GACGAACGCUGGCGGCGUGCCUAACACAUGCAAGUCGAACGGGGCUCUUUGGAUCGAGACUUCGGUCAAGUGAAUCUGAGCUUAGUGGCGGACGGGUGAGUAACGCGUGAGCAACCUGCCUUUCAGAGGGGGACAACAGUUGGAAACGACUGCUAAUACCGCAUAACGUGUCGAGGAGGCAUCUCCUUGACACCAAAGAUUUAUCGCUGAAAGAUGGGCUCGCGUCUGAUUAGCUAGAUGGCGGGGUAACGGCCCACCAUGGCGACGAUCAGUAGCCGGUCUGAGAGGAUGAACGGCCACAUUGGGACUGAGAUACGGCCCAG
RNAcentral lists this ribosomal RNA (323 nucleotides) under uncultured bacterium. RNAcentral describes it as "bacterial SSU rRNA". It matches the Rfam family "Bacterial small subunit ribosomal RNA", at positions 28 to 334 of the family's 1533-position model. The record is from RNAcentral.